RNAcentral lists this ribosomal RNA (465 nucleotides) under Vreelandella stevensii. RNAcentral's name for it is "partial 16S ribosomal RNA". It matches the Rfam family "Bacterial small subunit ribosomal RNA", at positions 338 to 795 of the family's 1533-position model. The record is from RNAcentral. Lineage: Bacteria; Pseudomonadati; Pseudomonadota; Gammaproteobacteria; Oceanospirillales; Halomonadaceae.
CCUACGGGUGGCUGCAGUGGGGAAUAUUGGACAAUGGGCGGAAGCCUGAUCCAGCCAUGCCGCGUGUGUGAAGAAGGCCUUCGGGUUGUAAAGCACUUUCAGUGGGGAAGAAAGCCUUGGGGCUAAUACCCUCGAGGAAGGACAUCACCCACAGAAGAAGCACCGGCUAACUCCGUGCCAGCAGCCGCGGUAAUACGGAGGGUGCGAGCGUUAAUCGGAAUUACUGGGCGUAAAGCGCGCGUAGGCGGUCUGAUAAGCCGGUUGUGAAAGCCCCGGGCUCAACCUGGGAACGGCAUCCGGAACUGUCAGGCUAGAGUGCAGGAGAGGAAGGUAGAAUUCCCGGUGUAGCGGUGAAAUGCGUAGAGAUCGGGAGGAAUACCAGUGGCGAAGGCGGCCUUCUGGACUGACACUGACGCUGAGGUGCGAAAGCGUGGGUAGCAAACAGGAUUAGAUACCCCAGUAGUC